RNAcentral lists this ribosomal RNA (635 nucleotides) under Microbacteriaceae bacterium So3Ps_1903. RNAcentral describes it as "bacterial SSU rRNA". It matches the Rfam family "Bacterial small subunit ribosomal RNA", at positions 383 to 1021 of the family's 1533-position model. The record is from RNAcentral. Lineage: Bacteria; Bacillati; Actinomycetota; Actinomycetes; Micrococcales; Microbacteriaceae.
CUGAUGCAGCAACGCCGCGUGAGGGAUGACGGCCUUCGGGUUGUAAACCUCUUUUAGUAGGGAAGAAGGGAGCUUGCUCUUGACGGUACCUGCAGAAAAAGCACCGGCUAACUACGUGCCAGCAGCCGCGGUAAUACGUAGGGUGCAAGCGUUGUCCGGAAUUAUUGGGCGUAAAGAGCUCGUAGGCGGUUUGUCGCGUCUGCUGUGAAAACCCGAGGCUCAACCUCGGGCCUGCAGUGGGUACGGGCAGACUAGAGUGCGGUAGGGGAGAAUGGAAUUCCUGGUGUAGCGGUGGAAUGCGCAGAUAUCAGGAGGAACACCGAUGGCGAAGGCAGUUCUCUGGGCCGUAACUGACGCUGAGGAGCGAAAGCGUGGGGAGCGAACAGGAUUAGAUACCCUGGUAGUCCACGCCGUAAACGUUGGGCGCUAGAUGUGGGGACCUUUCCACGGUUUCCGUGUCGCAGCUAACGCAUUAAGCGCCCCGCCUGGGGAGUACGGCCGCAAGGCUAAAACUCAAAGGAAUUGACGGGGGCCCGCACAAGCGGCGGAGCAUGCGGAUUAAUUCGAUGCAACGCGAAGAACCUUACCAAGGCUUGACAUAUACGAGAACGGGCCAGAAAUGGUCAACUCUUUGG